Heterocephalus glaber (naked mole-rat) is the source of this 1911-nucleotide long non-coding RNA. The record is from Ensembl. NCBI's taxonomy places the organism in Eukaryota, Metazoa, Chordata, Mammalia, Rodentia, Bathyergidae.
CGGGUGCCCCUGGGGCCUUCGGCCCUGCAAAACUGCUCCACACCCCUGGCCCCGCCUACCCGUGACCUCAACGCCACCUUCGACCUCUCUGAGGAGCCCCCCCUUGACACUCAGCUUCCAGGAACAGACUGGGCCCGGCCAGCCCUGCGUCGCCAGCAGGCCAGCAUUCCUGUUCACUGAGCGGGGGCCCAGGCCCACGACCUCCCUGCCCCGGACCUUGACCUGCAAGAAGAGGCGCCCAGUGAGUUCCUCCGCCCCCCUGGGCCGAAGCCGCAUUGCCCGCCUGCCCAGCAGCUCCUUGAAGAGGCCCGCGGGGGCCCUGGCCAUCCCAGAGCCGCCCUCGAGGCUGAAGACCCAGGAGAAGCCUGCCAGGGCUGGGGGCCGCGUCGCCCGGGUGUCCUGAUCCCUGGCUGCCCCCAGCCUGGGCACUCGGAGCCAGCACCCGGUCCUUGCCACCCGCCCUGUUGAUUCUGUUGCCACCCUCUUCCCUCGAGGGCGGUGCUCAGCCUCCCAGCAUGUUCUGGUGCCGUUCACGUGGGCAGUUUUGAGGGUGCUGCCUGCCCGGGCCACACCAGACACUGCAGUGGGGAGCAGACGGGCCUGGUGUGGCUCCUGGUAGCCCAGCGGGGCAUCCUCAGCCCUGGCUUUGAUCCACAGAGGAGGCUCUUCAUCUGCCCAGGGCGCACCCCCUGUGCGAGUCAUCCCCGCGCCUCCCUGGGUGUAAAUGCCAGUGCAUACGGGGUUGCACCCCGAUCUCCCGUCUGUGUACAGAACAGGCACACGUGGACACAGGUCCAUCCUUCCCACCGUGAUUAAUAAACCAGCUCUCUCUGGUUGAGAGCCUUUGGCACCUACACAGGGAGGACACUUCUACCCCGACCCCAGGGCGGAGCGGCUCCACACUCAGGCCCAUCCUGGAGCCCCACCUGCAUGGGGGACGGAGGGAUCCACACAGCUCCGCUCUCCACAAAGCCAGUGCCGGCUGAACGAAUUAACUAAACACGAUUACAGAAGCCUGUGUUGACUUGCUACUGAGCACAGACACAUUAAGGCUGUCUACCACAGGGUCAAGUCUCAGGUGGGCGACCACGCUGUUUGGGGGAGCAGCUGCCCACCGGCUGUGUCCGACUUGGUCCAAUCCCUCAAGGAGGAUGGGACAGCACCACACCAGCCAGCGCCACCGCAGAGUGCAUGGCUGGAAGAGGUGAAUGAGGAAGGCAGGAAGGCUCCUGGGGUGGAAGCAGCAGGCGCCUCUGCAUUCAUCCUGCCGCUGCUUCCCCUGUGCAGGGUGGUGCCCAGGGUGGCUGGAGCUUCGAGUCUGCACCCCUGGCAGCCUGGUGCAGCCCUGACCCUGGGUCCGCUGGUGUGGGCGAGAUGCAGACUGACUUCCAGGGCACCAAGGACCUCCUCCCUUGGGCAUCGGUGCUCCCCGCGUGGAGGCAGCAGGCAGGGUGCCAUGAAGGGGACAAGGGGCUGCCAUAGAGGUCGCCCCAACAGGCACUCCCGGUGCUGCUCACUCCGCAGACAUCUGUGGCUCUCAAGUGCAGCCCACGGUCUCCUGCUGACCAGCGACGCCCUCGACCUCAGGGUCGGCCCACAGCAGGCCUUCAUGGGCCUGAGGCCUGAGCCCAGCGGGGCGGCAGGAUGGGCUAACCUCCGCCGGGAGCCUGUGGAUCAGGUGGCUCCUGCUGGACCACCCCAGAUGGUGAUUGACACCCCGGCACAGUGCCCAGCUAUGUCUCCUCAGGCCGCACCCUGGCUCCCCACACUCCCCAAGCUCACCCGGGCCCAUCCUGGGGUCGAAUCUGCUUUUUGUAGGACCCAGCUUGGUGCUGGGAGCUGGGAACAGAAUGCAACUCAACCUUCCCAUGGGGUGGGGGCGGCGCCGAUCCCUGUGACAAAGGGAGCCAA